This is a long non-coding RNA of Carya illinoinensis, 3221 nucleotides long. RefSeq lists it as uncharacterized. Lineage: Eukaryota; Viridiplantae; Streptophyta; Magnoliopsida; Fagales; Juglandaceae. The record is from RefSeq and is a predicted model, not a curated record. The transcript has 7 exons.
UUAGACGAGUGAGUCGGUGACCCAGUAUCAUUCUUCAAAGUUUUGACAAUGUUGUUCAUAUUCUCUUUCAUCUUCUCUCUCCGAAACCAAAGAAACCAGACUCCUUCUCUUCAAUGCUUGUUAUAUCUUCAGGCUUGUUUUCUGCAGUGUUGAUUUUUUUUUUCUAUGCCGUUGAAGCUGGUUUUAGGAUUGUAGAUGGGUUUUUGGUCUCUAGAUUUCUGAACAAAAUAGAUGGGUUUCCUUUUUUUCCCUUUGCAUAUCGUGGUUUUCUGCAGCGUUGGGUUUUUUAACUUUCAGAUUCACAUAAAGAAGAAGAAGAUAUGAAUGCUCCCGACCGCUACGAACGUUUCGCCAUCCUUGAAGGUGUCGACGAGAGGGAUAUGAAAAUAAUCAACACCGCGUCCUUCAUCAUCGAGAGAGAGGAGCACACAGUCGGCAACAUUCUACGCAUGGAGCCACGAGGCUUUGGAUUUGUGAAGUACCGUUAUGCUGAAGUUGCUGUAGAUGCAAAACAACAACUGAACCAUACAAUAAUUGGUGGGUGCGAAAUAAGAAUUGUGUUUGCGGAGGAGAACAGAAAAAACGCCUCAAGAAAUGCGUCCCGUGUAAGCUUACUCAAGGUCGCCUACACCAGCUAGGCAUGACUCAAGAGAAAUCUCGGUGCGUUUCGAAUCCUCCUCCUCCUGAAUCUCGGCAUUUCUGGUAUGCUUCUUGUUCUUUGCUUGUUCUUUGCUCUGUAAGUGCAACGUGUGUAAAUUUUACUUCUUUCAUUCCUGGAGAAACUUCUCCUUCCUUUUCACAUUUACUUUUUCUUGGAGUGUCUCGGUGUGGCUAUGUUAGAAGAUGCUUUUGCGGCUCAAUGAGAAGGUUGGAGGACAGGACUGUCAGUUUUGGGUUGUUCUUAUCCAUUGGGUUCUGUGUUGUACUUAUCCAUUGCAAAUUUCUUCAAUCCGAGGCUCCGAAAGAAAAGUGUGCAUUGCAAUGUCUAUUGCAGUAUAUCAAUCCUAUUGUCAAGAAUUCACAGCAUCGCUUGAAAGGGAACCUUUUAUAUGCCAUAGAGAGUGUUUUAAAGCAUGUAGAAACAUGUCCGUUUCACAAAACACAAACCCAAUACUACAGCAACAUCGCUUGCCCACCAUUCGGGCGAUCAAAUUCUCUUGCCGGAUCCUCCUGUUUGAGCCAACCUCAACCUCCGAGACGGAGAUGUAACCAGUGGAGUGUUGGUCGAGUUCCUUGUGGGCGUCAUGAAGCUGGCCUUCGAGUUUCUGCCACUGUUUCUCUCUCGCCAUCAACCUUUCAAAUGAGCCCAAGUUUAGAAUUUAUUUGGAAUUUUUUGGCUCGCAUGGAAAGUUGGAGGUGUUGGGACAACUAAAGCUCGAGUUUAACCCAUUUUGCAUUGGUAAGAUUUUAGUUGUUUAUCAAUCCCAGCUUGGUUUAUUGAGAUCGCCCCGUAUGUAGUUAUUUUGGGUUCAUAUCUUGUAGUUUAAAUUGUAGAUCUAUCCCCUUAGUACAGGGGAUAUAAAGAAAUCAAAACCCAUUUCUAUAAAAUAGUUCAUGCUUAAAACCCAUUUGUUAUUUUGGGAUGGCUUAAAAUGGCUUUCGCAUCAAACUAAGCAUUGAAUCAAAUCUGCAAAUGGGUUUUAAGCAUGAAUUAAAACCCAAACUAAGCAUCAAAAUAAAUAAAGAAAUAAGGAUGCUUGAUUUGUUAAAACCAAUGGGUUUUAAUUCAUGCUUAACAAAUGGGUUCUAAUUGAUGCUUAUUUGUUAAUUCAUUCUUUGGGUUUUGGUUCAUGUUUUAAGCAUGUAGAAAUAGGUUUUAAUUAAUUCUUGAAACCCAUCCUGAUUCAUUCUUAAAACCCAUUUCUUUUAAAAAAUUAAAACAAGUUUCUAUUUACACAGUAUUUGAAAAAACUUAUUCUCUGUUGUUCUGCUUCAUUUGGUGCUAAGACAUAAGUUUCUACUACAAGAAAAUAGGUAAGAGUUUUCAUUUCCAUUUGGCACAUAUAUACAGGGGAUAAAACUAAAGAUUUUGUGCUCUGCCUCUCAUCUCUCCCCUUUUCUUCCAAUACUCUCACAACUUUGAUUCUAAUAUAUAUCAAUAAUCUUUAGUAGAUGUACUCUUGUUUCCAAGGAAUAUUCUUUGUUCCUGAGGCGGCUUUUUUGUUGUUCCCCUUCUUCUAUAUUUGUCAUAUCAGUCCUCCCUGACAUGAGGUGUGUUAAUGAUUGAUUGACUUAGUCUUCUUAUUCGGAUAAAAUAUAUUGUAUUCAAUUGCAACUUAAUGUUAUUUUUUUUUACGUUGUUCUUCUGGCCCUUUCAUAAGAGUUCUUGCAGUUAGGAGCUGCUGCAACUUAUCCAGAAGAUUCUAUGCCUUCUUUGGAUGAUUUGGCAGAUCGCAUCAUUGAAGUUCUCAACCAUUUUAGUUAAUAAUUAUUCUAAAAUGUUUUUGGUGAUUUAUUGAGACUUUUUGGUAUCCAAAACUCAUAUUUUAAAUUAUCAAGUAGCAUACUUACAAGCAUAUUUUACAUACAAGGUUGUAUCGGCCUGUUUCUAUUGGAGGGAAUUAGUACAACUGAUGUUGGAUUCAUAGUGUCAAUUUGUUUGGAAGCUUGCUUGUAUUUAAUGACUGUCCACAUCACUUUCAAUAACCCUUCUUAUUUGUUCUAAAAGAAGUUCCUUUAGUUUAUUAUAUUUUUUAUAUUUGUUUUCUUGAAUUUUGCAUGUGGGAUGCAUAUGAAUUGUUAUUUCUUCCCUCUUGCUGAUGUAUUCUUUUUUUUUUUUGGUGAUUAUAAACACAAUGGCAAGCACAUAUGGAGCAGUGGAAAUUUGGAUGAACGAGCAUGUUCGAAGACUUUGCACAAAUAACUGUGCUGAUCUUGUAUACGGCUUGCUUGAGACUUCUUCAAAGAAAAGAAGUGAGUAUUGGCUUAUAUGGCGGUUUGAAGGGAAAGCCACAGUUUCAGAUUUGAUGCAAAGUAAAGAGUUCCCCUAUAAUGUUGGUACUUCCUCUCAUCAGCCAUUUCAUAUGGUAGAAACUAUGAUUCUUAGAGAGAGAGGUCCAGGACAUGUGUAAGGGUAUUGAAAGGGUGAAUAGAAUCAUACAAACAAUCAUGAGACAUCUCUUAUUUGCAUUGGAUGGACUUCACUGGACUGGGAUUGUGCAUGGGCAGUGCACGUUGUGCUCUUCCUAGUAUUGAUCAAGUCUUGCACUGUUUACAUUUUC